Apodemus sylvaticus (European woodmouse) is the source of this 1009-nucleotide long non-coding RNA. RefSeq lists it as uncharacterized. The transcript has 3 exons. The record is from RefSeq and is a predicted model, not a curated record. Lineage: Eukaryota; Metazoa; Chordata; Mammalia; Rodentia; Muridae.
CGCGCGGCUCCACCUGCCUGUGCGGGCCCGCGGGCAGCGCUCCGGGACUACCUCGGCCGGCCACUUGGGUCUCAGGGAGGAGGAAACGGAAGCUCAGACGGCCGCCGGGCCGCUCCAAGCUCCGGGACGGCCGCUGCGCGCUCCCGGCCUGCUGCUCCCCGGAGGCCGCGGAGGGCACAACAAAGGCCCCCCGGGCAGCCUGCUUGGGGACCGGCCCUUGCACUCGCUGGGCCUGGUUCUGGCUUUGCUUUGUUUGUUUUUGCUUUUCUGCGGUCCUUAAACUCUGAGAUUUCUCCCGGUUCCGGUUCGAGACUCUGGGUUAAGUAAGGGACUCAUGUACGCUGACUGGAAUGAACCUCACUACAUAGCUGAAGCCUCCCUCCCUGCCCGCAGAGGGUUCUCUGUGCAACCCAGGCUAUUGUGGAACUCACACUAGACCAGGCUGCCUCAAACUCCGAGACCUACCUACCUGCUUCUGCUUCCUGAGUGCUGGGAUCAGAAGCGGAGGCUGAGCACUGUCACCAUUAUGCUGGCUCCUGGAGCCAUCUUCAUCUUGAAUCUGACAGCAAGUGAUACAAAGGAGAAGAAUGGGCUGGAGAGAUGGCUCAGCAGUUAAGAGCACUGAUUGCUCUUCUAGAGGUCCUGAGUUCAAAUCCCAGCAACCAUAUGGUGGCUCACAACCACGUAUAAUUUUGAUCUGAUCCCCUCUUCUGGGAUGUCUGAAGACAGCUACAGUGUACUUAUAUAUAAAAUAAAUAGUCUGGAGGGAAAGAUUCACAAGCCAGGCCUCCAUCUUCUGCACUAUUUUCAACAUUUUCUUCCAAGCUCCUACAGAGCAUUCCACAGAGCUCUUAACAUCCGAAUGGCUCUUCUAACUCGAAGUUCCAAAAUCCUUCCACAGUCCUCCCCAAAACAUGGUCAGGUUGUCACAGGAAUACCCCACGAUGCUGGUACCAAUUUGUCUUAGUCAGGGUUUCUAUUCCUGCACAAAACAUGACCAAGAAGCAAG